CCCACUUCGUGUCUACCAAAUGACAGCCUGGUGCUCGCUCUUGGUGAUUUGGCCUUGACUUCAGCCAAGCAGCUGAUGCAGACGAAGCCUCCGUUUGCAGGACUGGCAAAGUGCACGCUAAAGAAAGAAGGAAGAAAUUUUUCAAAAAGCAGCUCUGGGGAGGUUUCAUACUCCCCCCCCCCCCCCGCCUUUUUUUAAUUUUUAAGUGAAUAUUUUCCAAAUUUGAUCAGUUCCAGCCCCUCCCUCCACUCCCACCCAACUGCCCUUUUUUCUCUCGUCAAAGCAUAAGCUACAGAGUUACAGUCUCGAGAUUUGGUGUAUCGCUUCCUGCCCCCGCCUCCCCUCCCCGCCCCCGUUCUCCGUCCUCUAUUGAAACACCUCGCCCAGCCUAGCGCACUGAGAGCUCUCAUUUUCCCCCCUUGCUCGGGAUGGUGCCACAGGAGGCUGUGCGGGCCCCGCUCCGCUUCGAAUGGCUGGUCCUAUAGUACCCCUCCUCAGGAAUGUCUCCCCAGUGCAAGGACAAAGACUGAAGAGACUGCUAUAUUGAUGGACUCUCAAGCCAACUAUGAAGUUGAAACAAAGAAAGUGAUCACCUGAAGACACCUCCUCUGCUAAGAAACACCCCCAAAUUGUGCAGCUUCUGCCACUAGAACUCUCAGAACAAGAGACAAUCUUUUCAAGAAACAGAAAAACUCAAUAAUGACAUCUAGAUUUUCAUGAGCCAAGAACUUUCCCUUCCUCAUGUGUAUUCCUCUGUUUGUACUUAAAUUCAUGUGACAUUCAUUUUUUUCCUAGUAUGGAUAUGCUUAUUAAUGCACUUGUUUCAAAAUCCCAAAUUGCACAAAUGUGUUAAUAUUUUAAGAAACAAAAUGAAUCCUACAAGGAGAAUGAUUUUUAGCCACACAUAGGGUUGGAUCUUGAGAGUGACCUACAGAAUAAAAGUACUUUUAAAAUAAAGUAGUCAGAGGCUAUUCAAAGGGUAAAAUAAUCAUAGUACCACAUUGGUCCACUUGACACUAACCAAUCGAUCAUUUUUUUUUAAUCAAGAAAGCUAGAUUCUAUCAGAUAAAAUCACUGCUUCUAAAGAGUUUAAAUCUAGUUAGAAAAAGUUAUAGAAAUGUUUGCAAAGAUAAGUAACAGAUAGAGUCAGUAGAGGAUAAGAUCAAAAACAAAACCAAGCAAAAGAUGAGUUCAGGGGAGUUUGCCAUCAAGUUGGCAAAACUGACUUACUUAGGGAAGAAAGUUAUAAAACAGGAAAAUAUGAGAUGAACCUUGAGUGAUGUGGAAGAUUUAGAUAAAUGGAAAGGAAGGAGAAAAUGGAGUUCUUUAGGUGGUUGUAAUUGGAGGAGGAAAUGAAUACACACAUCUUGUUGACUUAAACCCAGACAUUCAGCAGCUCUCUAUACAUAUCUGGAAAAGACUGCACAGUCACCUCCUGUCUCUCACCCCAGGUAUUACUUAGAAUUAUUAUCAUAUUUCCCUUCCUUUAAAGUAAGUAAGGGUGAUUGGUGACAAUAUGGAGAACUAUGAUUUUUCCAUUAACCUAAUAAUAAUUGGUAUUUAUUGAGUUCUGUUAAGCAUUUUACAUAUUAACUCACUUAAGCCUUUCAACAGCCUUGCAAAAUAGGUAUUAUUAUCCCCAUUUUACAGGCAAGAAAACUGAGGUUUAAGUAACUUGCCGAAGUGCCAUAUACAGGGCUCACAUUCAGUAUUGCAGUUGCAAAGCUCAUGAUCUAUAGUGCCAAGUUGCAAUAUUGUAGUCAAUGUCACAAUUAUUACCCCUUUUUAUAUUCCUUGAUAUUUUUCCAUGGCAAACAAUUAGCUAUUUCAUUUAAUAAUCACCUAAAACUUUUCAGUCUUCUGAUUAAAAUUACGCUGGAGUGAUAGAAUGUAUUUUCAUGAUAGAAAUUGGGAAAAAAAAUGGGGAAUGAAGUUUAUCAGCAUUUCAGACUUGUUUUUUUUUUUUUUUUUUGCAAGACUUUGAUGAGAUUGUUCACUUUUGUCUAUGUAAAAUCCCAAAUCCUUGAGAAUAAAAAAGGGGGAGGUUUAAGUCACUUGUUGCAAUGCCCUUUUUAAUAGAGGCAAUAAAUCUAAAGGCCAUAAAUUUAGAGUGACUUACAGAAGAUCGAACUUUGGAGUGUGGCAGAGUAAGGGAUGGAAACCGGGCCCUCCAGUUCACUAUCAGUAGCUUUUGCACUGGUCUGCCCUUCCUAAAUUAAGUAUGCACUUCAAUUUGAUGAGUGGAAACAGUCUAUCUGGGCAGUAACCAGGGAGCUUUGUGCCUAGUAGAUUGCUUCUGUUCUGCACUUCUUUGGUUUCCCACCUCAAUGUAAAAAAUAGCUAGCAAUGAAGUCCAGAAGUUGUCAAUGGUUCAUCCCCAGAAGAAUGCAUAAUGUCCAAAGUUGUAUGUGUAUGAUGUCUUCAAUGGUAUUAAGUUAUUUCAAAUUCUUAGUUCACCUACAUAAAUCAUUUCUAACAAGCAUCUUCUUAACCAACUUUAUGCACAGUGUAUGUUUGUAAGUGCUUCUGCACGAAUGUUUAUACAUGACUGUUUCCAUAGUACUUAUGUUUUUAAAAAUAUUCAGUCAUUUCCUACUAUAAUCCUCAUGUAUCCAUGUAACUGACUCAAAAAUACUUCAGCCACAGAAAGCUAAAACUGAGCAAAUCUCAUUCUUCUUUUCCAUCCCCUUUGCAUGUGGCUGGCAUUUAGUAAUGAUUAAUAAUAUGGCCAGCUGAAUAACAGAGGUUUGAGACACAAUUCUUUCUCAAAGGAGUCAGCUAAGCUGGGUCUACUUAUGGACAAACAUCUAAAUGUGUGGAAGUAUCUGAUAUUUGACAAUGGUAAAUUUCCACUUAGCUAGCUAGCAUUGUCAGACUUCAAUCUCCUCAUGGCUCUGGCCGUCCUGUUUUAAGCAUGAUAAUUGUUGGCCACAUCUCACAUAGUUCUCAUUGAGUGAGUUCAUAAAUAAACAGGGUUUUUUUUUUUUUUUAAAGAGCAGCCAAGCACAAAGUGUGACUUUGUUGACAUUUUAUGUGACUUUGUCAUAUGUUCCUAACCCCCAAUAAAAGCAAUGUUGCAUCAACUGUGAAAAAAAAAAAAAAA
Molecule: long non-coding RNA, 3103 nt
Filed under: Homo sapiens (human)
Lineage: Eukaryota; Metazoa; Chordata; Mammalia; Primates; Hominidae
Description: mir-100-let-7a-2-mir-125b-1 cluster host gene, transcript variant 4 (MIR100HG)
Source: RNAcentral